RNAcentral lists this ribosomal RNA (489 nucleotides) under uncultured bacterium. Its description in RNAcentral is "partial 16S ribosomal RNA". It matches the Rfam family "Bacterial small subunit ribosomal RNA", at positions 28 to 507 of the family's 1533-position model. The record is from RNAcentral.
GACGAACGCUGGCGGCGUGCUUAACACAUGCAAGUCGAACGGUGAAGGGAUCAGCUUGCUGGUUCUGGAUGAGUGGCGAACGGGUGAGUAACACGUGAGUAACCUGCCCCCUUCUUCUGGAUAACCGCAUGAAAGUGUGGCUAAUACGGGAUAUUCUGGGUCUGUCGCAUGAUGGGUCUGGGAAAGAUAUUGUUUCGGUGGGGGAUGGGCUCGCGGCCUAUCAGCUUGUUGGUGGGGUGAUGGCCUACCACGGCGGUGACGGGUAGCCGGCCUGAGAGGGGGGACGGUCACACUGGGACUGGGACACGGCCCAGACUCCUACGGGAGGCAGCAGUGGGGAAGAUUGCACAAUGAGCGCAAGCCUGAUGCAGCGACGCCGCGUGAGGGAGGGAGGCCUUCGGGAUGUAAACCUCUUUCGCCAGUGAAGCAGGCCUGCUCCUUGUGGGUGGGUUGACGGUAGCUGGAUAAGAAGCGCCGGCUAACUACGUG